GAGUUUGAUCCUGGCUCAGAACGAACGCUGGCGGCGUGCCUAACACAUGCAAGUCGAACGUGAUCCAGAGCUUGCUCUGGUGAAAGUGGCGCACGGGUGAGUAACGCGUGGAUAACCUACCCUGGUAUCCGGGAUAACAUUCCGAAAGGGGUGCUAACACCGGAUAAGCCCACGGGCUCUUUGGAGCUUGCGGGAAAAGGUGGCCUCUAUUUAUAAGCUACUGUAUCAGGAUGGGUCCGCGUACCAUUAGCUAGUUGGCGGUGUAACGGACCACCAAGGCGACGAUGGUUAGCUGGUCUGAGAGGAUGAUCAGCCACACUGGAACUGAGACACGGUCCAGACUCCUACGGGAGGCAGCAGUGGGGAAUUUUGCGCAAUGGGGGAAACCCUGACGCAGCAACGCCGCGUGAGUGAUGAAGGCCUUUGGGUCGUAAAGCUCUGUCAGAGGGGAAGAAAUGAUAUAGUGCUAAUACCACUUUAUCUUGACGGUACCCUCAAAGGAAGCACCGGCUAACUCCGUGCCAGCAGCCGCGGUAAUAC
RNAcentral lists this ribosomal RNA (540 nucleotides) under uncultured Geobacteraceae bacterium. RNAcentral describes it as "bacterial SSU rRNA". It matches the Rfam family "Bacterial small subunit ribosomal RNA", at positions 9 to 526 of the family's 1533-position model. The record is from RNAcentral. Lineage: Bacteria; Pseudomonadati; Thermodesulfobacteriota; Desulfuromonadia; Geobacterales; Geobacteraceae.